RNAcentral lists this ribosomal RNA (253 nucleotides) under uncultured bacterium. RNAcentral's name for it is "partial 16S ribosomal RNA". It matches the Rfam family "Bacterial small subunit ribosomal RNA", at positions 524 to 776 of the family's 1533-position model. The record is from RNAcentral.
UACGGAGGGAGCUAGCGUUGUUCGGAAUUACUGGGCGUAAAGCGCACGUAGGCGGCUCAGCAAGUCAGGGGUGAAAUCCCGGGGCUCAACCCCGGAACUGCCCUUGAAACUGCUAAGCUAGAAUCCUGGAGAGGCGAGUGGAAUUCCGAGUGUAGAGGUGAAAUUCGUAGAUAUUCGGAAGAACACCAGUGGCGAAGGCGACUCGCUGGACAGGUAUUGACGCUGAGGUGCGAAAGCGUGGGGAGCAAACCGG